This 912-nucleotide long non-coding RNA is filed under the name Rattus norvegicus (Norway rat). RNAcentral's name for it is "long non-coding RNA NONRATT021618". The record is from RNAcentral. Lineage: Eukaryota; Metazoa; Chordata; Mammalia; Rodentia; Muridae.
GGAUCCCACAAGGUGAUAGAAAAGAACUCUUGGGAGUUGUCCUCUGAUCAAACACACAUCGUGCGCACACACACACACACACACACACACACACACACACACACAUAAAACACACACACAUUCACACAUAUACAUCCAUACAAUAGACACACACACACUUUAAAAACAAAACCAAAAAAAAAGCAAGAAACAGGAGUUGUAGCUCUGUGGCAGAGCACCCUCCUAGCAUCCCUAAAGCUAUAAUCCUCUGUACCACAAGUAAUUAAUAAAGGUAAUACACGUGGUGGGAGUUAAAUUAAAAGGCAUUUACAAACUCAACCACCCCUGGACCUGAAUUAGAAAGAAAGAAAGCAAGAGAGCUCUAAAGACUUUUUUUUAAUAACUGAGGGUUGUUUUCGUGUUUGGGGUGUGAUGAGGCAGCUCUGCCAGAUAAGACGUCACUACCUUCUUAGUAAAGGUUUGCUCAAGUAUUCAAAAGCCGAGCUUUAGGACUAAACAGAGAAAGAAACACUCAAUAUAAAGGACUGGGUGUCCAGACUACUCUCUCUCUUGGUAAUUUGAACCUUGUCAAAAUAAAAGGCUGAGGAAGCAUGCCCACAGAAGGAACCAUGGAUUAGCAUUAACUACGGCUCUUUCUCGUGGUGUAGACCUGAGGCAUACAGCACUUGCAGACUUCCUCCCCAAAUUCUGCAGGCUGACUAGGCACAGCUCAGUUAUAUGCAAUUUGCAUAACGCUGCCAGUGAAGAGACCUGCCUCAGGCAAGCAAAGAACUCGCUCUACAGCUAUGUGAGGUGGUGCUGGGCUGGAGUUAGGACUACAGGGCUUUUCUAGGUGCACUCUUCCUCCAAACUGCUUCUGUCAAGUGCCUACUACAACUGUAUCUCAAGAUGGUCUGUUACAAAGAAAAACAA